Molecule: long non-coding RNA, 1229 nt
Filed under: Anolis carolinensis (green anole)
Lineage: Eukaryota; Metazoa; Chordata; Lepidosauria; Squamata; Anolidae
Description: lncRNA (ENSACAG00000042323.1)
Source: RNAcentral
UCUGUAUAACGGCAGUAAGACAGACCACGGAACAACAGACUGGUUCAAGAUUGGGAAAGGAGUAGAACAGGGCUUAUACGCUCACCCUACCUAUUCAACUUGUAUACAGAACACAUCAUGCGACAUGCGGGGCUUGACAAAUCCAAGGCUGGAGUUAAAAUUGCUGGAAGAAACAUUAACAGCCUUAGAUAUGCCGAUGAUACCACUUUGAUGGCUGAAAGUGAGAAGCUGAGGAGCCUAAUAGGUAGAGCUUUAUCUUACUUUAGCCUCAUUGUAAGCCUUCUUGAGUCCCAUGUUGGGAGAAAGGUGAGAAAUAAAACAUAAAUAAACAACUUCUGCAGAGCUACAUGAUUCUGUUCCAUAUAAUUCCUGGCUGACUCCCAAAAUGUAUCUGCAGAAUUCCUGUUCACAUUCUGUUGGGUAUUACUGGUCACUAAGGCCCCUUCCACAUAGCUAUAUAUAAUUCAGAUUGAACUAGAUUAUAUGGCAGUGUGUACUCAGAUAUUCUGGGUUAUAUGGCUGUGUGGAAGAGUCCUUAAUCCAAGUGUUAGUCCCAAUUAGAGUAGACCUAUUGAUUAGAGAAAUUUUCAUAAGUGACUUACCAAGUUUCUAUUUCUAGGACAGUUGGAUUUUGACUUUUGACUAGAGGUGUGUGUGAAAAAUUUUCCUUCGUUUCCUUCAUGCUAUUGUUUCGUUUCAACCGUUUGUCUACACAAAACGAACAACGACAUUUUUGUAGGAAACGAGAGGUGACACGGCAAUAAAAGCUGUACAAUCAUCAUGCUUGCUUUCAUUUCCUUUCAUUUCGGCCCCGUAACAAUAAGCAGGUACUGACAGGGAUGCUUUCCCAUUACAGCUGAUGUGUACCAAUGGGUGUUAAUAAUAUUAAUAUAAAUAACGAUAGUUACUGUGGUACCCUAAGCUGAUUUUGGGUCCGGGAGAGAAGUGAUUCCCAAUGACAUCUGAUGAGGUGGGGGUUCCACAAUGUCCACAGAGGGAAUCUGCAAAGACCUGGAGAAAUGUUAUGAGUUUUUGCACUUAAAAUACAAUAAAUGAAUAAAAAGAAGGAAGGAAGACAAAUGGACAGAUAGACUGCUGUACAUUGAUCUCAAAGAUCAGAGGUCUUGAGUGGUAGAAUUAUUUGUACAAAAUCUCAAUGUCGUAUCUCAAACUGUUCAAAUGAUUAAAAUAACUGUUUAUUACAAAAAAGAAUUACUCAGCACUUGCUA